Molecule: ribosomal RNA, 273 nt
Filed under: uncultured bacterium
Lineage: Bacteria
Description: partial 16S ribosomal RNA
Rfam family: Bacterial small subunit ribosomal RNA
Source: RNAcentral
UACGUAGGGUGCGAGCGUUAAUCGGAAUUACUGGGCGUAAAGCGUGCGCAGGCGGUUGUGUAAGACAGGUGUGAAAUCCCCGGGCUUAACCUGGGAACUGCGCUUGUGACUGCACGACUGGAGUGUGGCAGAGGGGGGUGGAAUUCCACGUGUAGCAGUGAAAUGCGUAGAGAUGUGGAGGAACACCGAUGGCGAAGGCAGCCCCCUGGGUUGACACUGACGCUCAUGCACGAAAGCGUGGGUAGCAAACAGGAUUAGAUACCCGCGUAGUCC